GGGCGUUUAGCUCAGUUGGUUUAGAGCGCCUGCUUUACACGCAGAAGGUCGUAAGUUCGAAUCUUACAACGCCCACCA
This 78-nucleotide transfer RNA is filed under the name Fibrobacterota bacterium. Its description in RNAcentral is "Fibrobacteres bacterium (aquatic metagenome) tRNA-Val". It matches the Rfam family "tRNA". From Rfam's summary of the family: Transfer RNA (tRNA) molecules are approximately 80 nucleotides in length. The record is from RNAcentral. Lineage: Bacteria; Pseudomonadati; Fibrobacterota.